RNAcentral lists this ribosomal RNA (368 nucleotides) under uncultured bacterium. Its description in RNAcentral is "bacterial SSU rRNA". It matches the Rfam family "Bacterial small subunit ribosomal RNA", at positions 162 to 548 of the family's 1533-position model. The record is from RNAcentral.
UCUAAUACCGGAUAGGACCGCGCCAUGCAUGUGGUGUGGUGGAAAGCUAUUUGCGGUGUGGGAUGGGCCCGCGGCCUAUCAGCUUGUUGGUGGGGUGAUGGCCUACCAAGGCGACGACGGGUAGCCGGCCUGAGAGGGUGUCCGGCCACACUGGGACUGAGACACGGCCCAAACUCCUACGGGAGGCAGCAGUGGGGAAUAUUGGACAAUGGGCGCAAGCCUGAUCCAGCCAUGCCGCGUGAGUGAUGACGGCCUUAGGGUUGUAAAGCUCUUUCGCUCGGGACGAUAAUGACGGUACCGAGAUAAGAAGCCCCGGCUAACUUCGUGCCAGCAGCCGCGGUAAUACGAAGGGGGCUAGCGUUGUUCGG